UAAUGAGCCACGUAAGAGAAUGAGUUG
Molecule: non-coding RNA, 27 nt
Filed under: Mus musculus (house mouse)
Lineage: Eukaryota; Metazoa; Chordata; Mammalia; Rodentia; Muridae
Source: RNAcentral